UUGUUUGUGAGGGCGCCCAAGUAAUAUCGUAUAAAGCAAUUAUAAGUAAUAACGGAAAAUAAGAAUGGUCUGACCAAGUCCAAAUUUGUACACAAGCUAGUCACAAGGAAUCGAUGUCCGGUAUCCGACGGCAACUCACCCACGAAUGCACAGAUACACAUAUGUUCUUAAUACACACGCGAGACAUCAUUAGCAAGAUUCCAAACACGUCUUUUAACGAUAAAUACUACCAACGAUUACUAAAUUACAAUGCGCCUCGCACAUUUCAUCGCGGACAUAACAGAACGUGGCUCGUAGCAUGAACUGCGAAGGUGAACUGUUAUCUUUAACGCUCAACUAUUUUUAGUUAGAAGGUGCAUCGAUGCGCCACCUAAGAUGACUUUACAAUAACAACGAGUGCUGCGCAGAGUGGGGCAUGCGUAUGUAUCAGUGUGAAUCAGUGUGGCGACGUCUGAAUAAAUGAAUGUAAACAUGAUAAAUAAUAAACAUUGAAUUAAAUCUAAAAUUUAUUAGAUACAAUUUGUUUGGAAUAAAGUGUGUACAAAACA
Long non-coding RNA from Dalotia coriaria, 548 nucleotides. RefSeq lists it as uncharacterized. The record is from RefSeq and is a predicted model, not a curated record. The transcript has 2 exons. NCBI's taxonomy places the organism in Eukaryota, Metazoa, Arthropoda, Insecta, Coleoptera, Staphylinidae.